This 506-nucleotide ribosomal RNA is filed under the name uncultured bacterium. Its description in RNAcentral is "partial 16S ribosomal RNA". It matches the Rfam family "Bacterial small subunit ribosomal RNA", at positions 28 to 507 of the family's 1533-position model. The record is from RNAcentral.
GACGAACGCUGGCGGCGUGCUUAACACAUGCAAGUCGAACGGUGAAGGGACUGGUUUUGCUGGUCCUGGAUGAGUGGCGAACGGGUGAGUAACACGUGAGUAACCUGCCCCCUUCUUCUGGAUGACCGCAUGAAAGUGUGGCUAAUACGGGAUAUUCUGGGUCUGUCGCAUGGUGGGCCUGGGAAAGAUUGCGCCUUUUUUGGUGUUUUUGGUGGGGGAUGGGCUCGCGGCCUAUCAGCUUGUUGGUGGGGUGAUGGCCUACCAAGGCGGUGACGGGUAGCCGGCCUGAGAGGGUGGACGGUCACACUGGGACUGAGACACGGCCCAGACUCCUACGGGAGGCAGCAGUGGGGAAUAUUGCACAAUGGGCGCAAGCCUGAUGCAGCGACGCCGCGUGAGGGAUGGAGGCCGUCGGGUUGUGAACCUCUUUCGCCAGUGAAGCAGGCCUGCCUCUUUUUGUGAGUGGGUUGACGGUAGCUGGAUAAGAAGCGCCGGCUAACUACGUG